RNAcentral lists this ribosomal RNA (468 nucleotides) under uncultured bacterium. RNAcentral's name for it is "partial 16S ribosomal RNA". It matches the Rfam family "Bacterial small subunit ribosomal RNA", at positions 28 to 507 of the family's 1533-position model. The record is from RNAcentral.
GACGAACGCUGGCGGCGUGCUUAACACAUGCAAGUCGAACGGAAAGGCCCUGCUUUUGUUGGGUGCUCGAGUGGCGAACGGGUGAGUAACACGUGAGUAACCUGCCCUUGACUUUGGGAGAACUUCAGGAAACUGGGGCUAAUACCGGAUAGGAGCUCCUGCUGCAUGGUGGGGGUUGGAAAGUUUCGGCGGUUGGGGCUGGACUCGCGGCUUAUCAGCUUGUUGGUGGGGUAGUGGCUUACCAAGGCUUUGACGGGUAGCCGGCCUGAGAGGGUGACCGGCCACAUUGGGACUGAGAUACGGACCAGACUCCUACGGGAGGCAGCAGUGGGGAAUAUUGCACAAUGGGCGGAAGCCUGAUGCAGCAACGCCGCGUGCGGGAUGCCGGCCUUCGGGUUGUAAACCGCUUUCGCCUGUGACGAAGCGUGAGUGACGGUAAUGGGUAAAGAAGCACCGGCUAACUACGUG